This is a non-coding RNA of Gymnopus androsaceus JB14, 90 nucleotides long. Lineage: Eukaryota; Fungi; Basidiomycota; Agaricomycetes; Agaricales; Omphalotaceae. The record is from the annotation of a GenBank genome assembly.
GCCGGCGUGGCGCAAUGGUAGCGCGUAGCUUUCCUGUGCUUGAGCAAGUAGGAUAGGCUGAAGUUGUGGGUUCGAUCCCCACCGUCGGUU